UACGUAGGUGGCAAGCGUUAUCCGGAUUUACUGGGUGUAAAGGGCGUGUAGGCGGGAGUGCAAGUCAGAUGUGAAAACUAUGGGCUCAACCCAUAGCCUGCAUUUGAAACUGUACUUCUUGAGUGCUGGAGAGGCAAUCGGAAUUCCGUGUGUAGCGGUGAAAUGCGUAGAUAUACGGAGGAACACCAGUGGCGAAGGCGGAUUCCUGGACAGUAACUGACGCUGAGGCGCGAAAGCGUGGGGAGCAAACAGG
RNAcentral lists this ribosomal RNA (253 nucleotides) under uncultured bacterium. RNAcentral describes it as "partial 16S ribosomal RNA". It matches the Rfam family "Bacterial small subunit ribosomal RNA", at positions 524 to 776 of the family's 1533-position model. The record is from RNAcentral.